CCUACGGGUGGCAGCAGUAGGGAAUUUUCGUCAAUGGGCGCAAGCCUGAACGAGCAAUGCCGCGUGAACGAGGAAGGUCUUCGGAUCGUAAAGUUCUUUUUAAGGGGAAAAAGAGCGGAGAGAGGAAAUGCUUUCGGAUUGAUAUUACCCUUCGAGGAAGUCACGGCUAACUACGUGCCAGCCGCCGCGGUAAUACGUAGGUGGCGAGCGUUAUCCGGAUUGAUUGGGUUUAAAGGGUGCGUAGGCGGGCUGUUAAGUCAGCGGUAAAAGCCCGGGGCUAAACCCCGGCGAGCCGUUGAAACUGGCUGUCUUGAGAUGUCGAGAGGUAUGCGGAAUGCGCGGUGUAGCGGUGAAAUGCUUAGAUAUUGCGUAGAACUCCGAUUGCGAAGGCAGCAUACCGGCGGCGAUCUGACGCUGAGGCACGAAAGCGUGGGUAUCGAACAGGAUUAGAUACCCGGGUAGUC
Molecule: ribosomal RNA, 464 nt
Filed under: uncultured bacterium
Lineage: Bacteria
Description: partial 16S ribosomal RNA
Rfam family: Bacterial small subunit ribosomal RNA
Source: RNAcentral